This 301-nucleotide ribosomal RNA is filed under the name uncultured bacterium. RNAcentral describes it as "partial 16S ribosomal RNA". It matches the Rfam family "Bacterial small subunit ribosomal RNA", at positions 509 to 807 of the family's 1533-position model. The record is from RNAcentral.
CAGCCGCCACGGGAAUACGGAGGGGGCUAGCGUUGUUCGGAAUUACUGGGCGUAAAGCGCACGUAGGCGGCUUGGUAAGUUAGAGGUGAAGGCCUGGAGCUCAACUCCAGAAUUGCCUUUAAGACUGCCGAGCUAGCAGGUGAGAGAGGUAAGUGGAAUUCCGAGUGUAGAGGUGAAAUUCGUAGAUAUUCGGAAGAACACCAGUGGCGAAGGCGGCUUACUGGCUCAUACUGGACGCUGAGGUGCGAAAGCGUGGGGAGCAAACAGGAUUAGAUACCCGCGUAGUCCCUGUCUCUUAUAC